RNAcentral lists this long non-coding RNA (1134 nucleotides) under Sus scrofa (pig). Its description in RNAcentral is "lncRNA (ENSSSCG00005029197.1)". Lineage: Eukaryota; Metazoa; Chordata; Mammalia; Artiodactyla; Suidae. The record is from RNAcentral.
AUUUAAGACUAUCAGACUAGGGAGUUCUGACGUGGCUCAGCAGAAAUGAAUCUGACUAGCAUCCAAGAGGACACAGGUUUGAUCCCUGGCUUACUCAGUGGGUUAAGAAUCCUUCCUGCAUUGCCGUGAGCUGCAGUGUAGGUCACAGACGCUGCUCGGAUCCCACUUUGCUGUGGCUGUGGUGCAGGCUGGCAGCUGCAGCUCUGAUUUGACCCCUAGUAUGGGAAUUUCCACAUGCCACAAUACGGCCGGUUAAAAAAAAAAAAAAAAGACACACACACACACAAAACCUACCAGAUUAUUGUGGGACUUAGAAAAUACCUAAUUUUAUGAAAAUACAGAUUGUUUUGUAUAAAGAUUAGGGCUUUGCUCAUCUUCACUGAUGAACACUAAGUUUGCAUGAAUGCUGCCUCUGCUUUCCUGCCCACGCUCCCCAAUAACCUAUUCUAUUGCUUUCUAGUGAUAAAUUAGAAAGUAGUCAACUAAUCCAAGCCAAGGAGUGAAAACAUUUCUUGAGUAACCAUAACAAGGUGAUUUCUCCCAGAGGUAUCUUUAUCUCAAAAGAAUCUUCUAAGAAACAUUCUUGGACAGUAAGACUUGGAUCACAAGAUCCUAAAAAAAAAAAAAAAAAAAAAGCCUGAAAUAUAGCAACUAGGGAGAGGAAAAGAGACAGGCAAAGACUAUCCACUGAAAACAAGUAAAAUCUGUUGGUAGAGAAGCCAAGAAAUACUAAACUAGGGAGUCAGAACACAAUCUGACUGCUACUUCACAUAAUUUUUCUCACCACUCUAUCUAUAACUCAAUUCUUAAACUACCUUUCACCCUACCAAGCCCUAUAACAAACUAUCACCUUUGCAAACAUUCCUUUACUUUGGAAGGGCCUCCUGUCUCUCCCCUUCUCCAUCUAGAAAAAUCCUACUCAUUCCUCAAGAGCAAGCUUCUUUCUUCUGACCUCCCAUAAUCUACUGUGUUGUACGUAUUAUAUGUAGAUUGAGUUCUCCAAAGUAAGACACCGUCUUCAAUAAUUUGGUAUCUCUAAAAUCUUGCAAUGUCUAGAGUAAAAUACAAAUGCAAAUGUUUGAUGAAAUAAAUGAUUUAAUGAUGAAUGAAUGAGCAACCUUAGGCAGUUUCUAC